This is a non-coding RNA of Podarcis muralis (Common wall lizard), 1375 nucleotides long. The record is from RefSeq and is a predicted model, not a curated record. Lineage: Eukaryota; Metazoa; Chordata; Lepidosauria; Squamata; Lacertidae.
AUUUUACAUUCCAAUUAAUCUCCCCACCCCCAUGACUUCCCCCAACUUCCCUUUCUGAGUAAUAGCAUAUAAAUUUCUACUGCUUAUAAUUUCAUACACCUUAUAUACUGAAAAUUAAAAUUAUAGCUUAUAACACUCCCUAUUCCUUCCUAGCGCAUUCUUCCUUGGCAAAGCGGGCUCUUUAGGCACAGCCUCCAGCGCCUGCCUGGGCCCUGGGCAGGGUUCUGCUCGUUCCUUCGCUCACCCCGGGAGGUAUCUGGGCAGCCUGGCCUGCUAAGCCUUACCCUUCGCCCUCCUGUCAUUGGGUAGUGGCCAAGGUGGCCCCACCAUGAGGGGUGUUGGUUGAGCGGGCAGGGCGGCAGAAGGAGGUGUUUGGAAGCUCCCGGACUGGCGGUUAGUCUCUUGCCUGCGCGUGGUGGGUGUGGUGGCUUUGGGUGGGCUUGCGCGCCUUCGCCAGCAUUUGGAGGCCAUCAGCUGCGGAUGAGUUGUGCCUCUGUGUGCAACAAAGAGGAGAAGAGAAGUUCUCCUUUAGAAGGCAGAACAGGCAAGAGCUGUCACUAUCACCUCAAUUCCACCGCGUCUCCCAGGGGGCCAAGAUGCAAGGAAGGGGCUUCCUUCUCCAUGCAAGGGCCACCCAUGUAUUCAGAGCAGUCCUUUGCAAAUUACUGUCUUUCUCCGUGUAUAAGAUGAGGUUUUUUGCCCAAUUUUUAAAGUUAAAAAACAUGGCUCGUCUUAUACAUGGAAUAUAGCAAUUAAAUAUAUAAAUAAAUGCAAUCCUUGCUCUGGCAGUCGCAGCUCCUCGCAGUGGCGAGCCCUGGGGCCUCCAUAGUCUGCUUGCCUCCCCCCACUCUGCCCGCCCUACAGCUGGGAGGGAGGCUGUAGGCUGUUGGUUUUUGCCGUGCAGCGUCUUUGUGCUGCUCAGCAAACUCUGCAAACUAAUGGGGAAGUCCGCCUGCAAAACAAAGCUGCUGAUCAAAGAUAUUUCUCCCCUCUAUGCCUUUCCUGCGCCUUUCCCGUGAAACAUCUUGGAGGCUACAAAUUUCUGCACUGCUCCUCUUGCAUAACGUUGCACCGCCCGCCUGCUAUUCCGUAGCCUCCUCUACCCAUGCAGACUCUGUAAAUGAAGGGGGAAGGGGAGGAGGCCACCUGCAAAGCGGAGCUGCCGAUCAAGGUGAGGAAGACGAUGGUCAGAAUUCUACGGAGCCAUCUGUGAAUUCAUUGGGAAGAACAAAGAAACAGUUUAAAUGCAAGGAAUGUGGAAUGUGCUUUAGACCAACAAACUCACACAAGAGAGAAUCCAUGUAAAUACAUGGAGUGUGAAAAGAACUUCAGUGAAAGUAGAGACCUUAGAAUACAUCAACAAAAUCACAAUGGG